GAAAUGCGAUAAGUAAUGUGAAUUGCAGAAUUCAGUGAAUCAUCGAAUCUUUGAACGCACAUUGCGCCCCCUGGUAUUCCGGGGGGCAUGCCUGUUCGAGCGUCAUUUCACCACUCAAGCCUCGCUUGGUAUUGGGCGACGCGGUCCGCCGCGCGCCUCAAAUCGACCGGCUGGGUCUUUCGUCCCCUCAGCGUUGUGGAAACUAUUCGCUAAAGGGUGCCGCGGGAGGCCACGCCGUAAAACAACCCCAUUCCUAAGGUUGACCUCGGAUCAGGUAGGGAUACCCGCUGAACUUAAGC
Molecule: unclassified non-coding RNA, 299 nt
Filed under: plant metagenome
Description: partial contains 5.8S ribosomal RNA, internal transcribed spacer 2, and large subunit ribosomal RNA
Rfam family: 5.8S ribosomal RNA (bases 1-105)
Source: RNAcentral